RNAcentral lists this long non-coding RNA (1142 nucleotides) under Oncorhynchus mykiss (rainbow trout). RNAcentral describes it as "lncRNA (ENSOMYG00000058439.1)". Lineage: Eukaryota; Metazoa; Chordata; Actinopteri; Salmoniformes; Salmonidae. The record is from RNAcentral.
AUUUCAAACCAAAUACUUUUAGACAUUUUACUCAAGUAUUUUACUGGGUGACUUUUUCAUGAGUAAUUUUCUAUUUAGUUAUCUUUACUUUUACUCAAGUAUGACAAUUGGGUACUUGUUCCACCACUGACUAGAGGUCACACUUUUGGGUCAUAGGUCACUGGUCAUAUGUAUAGGCACACAGGUGAUCAGGAAGUAGCGCUACACAGCCGUUACCAUGUUCACCAGUAACAAUUUUGGAAUGAUAUGCGCUUACGGUAACUACAUCUGCCAGUAUGGAAUUAUUGAUGUAUUUUGCUGCUAAUAAAUAGGUAAAAAACCCAACCAAAGAUCUAUGUUUGGAAAGUGGUUUCUUUUGCAAGCAUUUCUGAACAUCUGCAACCCCACCUGUGCCAAAUUGUAGAAUUAGUCCUCUUGUGAUACAUCCAUUGGCUCCCAAUUGAUAGCCACUACAUGCCUAAGUAACCCUACAAACAUGAACAAGUGUGGAUGGACUGCUCUGGUGCGUCAUCCUUCCGGUACAAUGGUCUGUCUGUGGUGUAUUUCCUUUUCCUGCUCACCCUUCCCCUGCUGCCAAACCCCUCUCUCACCUCCAUGCAAGGUAAGACCUCAGAGGAACACCACUGGGUCUGAAAUGGCACCUCAAGUUCUAGACUAUAAACAAUAAGGCACAUUUUAUUCCAAGUUACACUGUCUUUUGUUCUAUGCUACUGGGUCCUCUAUAUGUUUUAAUGUUUGCUAAUAAACACCAUGUUUGAUCAAUGUGGCCCUUGGGAGACAAAUCAUUUUAAUGUUCAUGUUUAUUGGGCUGCCUGUCUAUUAUUUCCAGAAUAUUGUUAAAUUACACUCAUAGGGUUCUUCGGUUUGUCCACAUUGGGGAACCCUUUUUGGUGCUAGGUAGGACCUUUUGCAAAGGUUCCUACCUAGAACCCUCUAUGUAGGGUUCUCAUAGAACCCUCUGUAUAAGGUUCUGCCUGGAUCCCUCUAUGAAAGGUUCUACCAAUAACCAUUUUAUAAUCUAUAGAUUCUUACUAGAACCAUCUAUGAAGGGUUCUACCGAUAACCGUUUUUAUCUUUGGAGGGUUCUUCCUAGAACCGUCUAUGAAUGGUUCCACAAGCCUCAUUAGCCUUUAAAAUAACAU